RNAcentral lists this ribosomal RNA (253 nucleotides) under uncultured bacterium. Its description in RNAcentral is "partial 16S ribosomal RNA". It matches the Rfam family "Bacterial small subunit ribosomal RNA", at positions 524 to 776 of the family's 1533-position model. The record is from RNAcentral.
UACAGAGGGUGCGAGCGUUGUCCGGAAUCACUGGGCGUAAAGGGCGCGUAGGCGGUUUGCCAAGUCAGGGGUGAAAUCCUGCAGCUCAACUGUAGAAGUGCCUUUGAUACUGGCGAACUCGAGGGAGGUAGGGGUGGGUGGAACUUCUGGUGGAGCGGUGAAAUGCGUUGAUAUCAGAAGGAACGCCGGUGGCGAAAGCGACCCACUGGAUCUCUACUGACGCUGAGGCGCGAAAGCUAGGGGAGCAAACGGG